This 410-nucleotide ribosomal RNA is filed under the name uncultured bacterium. RNAcentral describes it as "bacterial SSU rRNA". It matches the Rfam family "Bacterial small subunit ribosomal RNA", at positions 28 to 457 of the family's 1533-position model. The record is from RNAcentral.
GAUGAACGCUGGCGGUAUGCCUAACACAUGCAAGUCGUACGAGAGUUUUUAACUCUAGUGGCGGACGGGUGAGUAACACGUGAGAAUUUGCCUUUAGGAGGGGGAUAACAAUUGGAAACGAAUGCUAAUACCCCAUAUGCUUUCGAGUGAAAUGGAUUUAUAUUUAUCCGCCUAGAGAGAAGCUCGCGGCUGAUUAGCUUGUUGGUAAGGUAAGAGCUUACCAAGGCGACGAUCAGUAUCUGGUUUGAGAGGACGAUCAGACACACUGGAACUGAGACACGGUCCAGACUCCUACGGGAGGCAGCAGUGGGGAAUUUUCCGCAAUGGGCGAAAGCCUGACGGAGCAAUACCGCGUGAGGGAAGACUGCCUAUGGGUUGUAAACCUCUUUUUUCAGGGAGGAAUAAAAUGA